This 459-nucleotide ribosomal RNA is filed under the name uncultured bacterium. RNAcentral's name for it is "bacterial SSU rRNA". It matches the Rfam family "Bacterial small subunit ribosomal RNA", at positions 29 to 506 of the family's 1533-position model. The record is from RNAcentral.
AUGAACGCUGGCGGCGUGCUUAAUACAUGCAAGUCGAACGGAAACAGUAGCAAUAUUGUUUUAGUGGCGAACGGGUGAGUAACGCGUUGGUGACCUGCCCCGAAGAGAGGGAUAACAGUUCGAAAGGAUUGCUAAUACCUCAUGUGGUCAUAUGGUUUAGAAGCUUAUGACUAAACGGAUUUAUUCGCUUCGGGAGGGGCCUGCGUCCCAUCAGCUAGUUGGUAAGGUAAUGGCUUACCAAGGCUAUGACGGGUAGGGGACCUGAGAGGGUGGACCCGCACAAUGGAACUGGAACACGGUCCAUACACCUACGGGUGGCAGCAGUAGGGAAUAUUGGUGAAUGUGGGAAACCGCGAACCAGCAACGCCGCGUGCGCGAUGAAGGCCUUCGGGUCGUAAAGCGCUUUUAGAGAGGAUGAGGAAGGACAGUACUCUCUGAAUAAGCCUCGGCUAACUACGU